CACGUAGGGUGCGAGCGUUGUCCGGAAUUAUUGGGCGUAAAGAGCUCGUAGGCGGUGUGUCGCGUCGGCCGUGAAAACCUGCAGCUUAACUGUGGGCUUGCGGUCGAUACGGGCAUCACUGGAGUUCGGCAGGGGAGACUGGAAUUCCUGGUGUAGCGGUGGAAUGCGCAGAUAUCAGGAGGAACACCGGUGGCGAAGGCGGGUCUCUGGGCAGUAACUGACGCUGAGGAGCGAAAGCGUGGGGAGCAAACAGG
Molecule: ribosomal RNA, 254 nt
Filed under: uncultured bacterium
Lineage: Bacteria
Description: partial 16S ribosomal RNA
Rfam family: Bacterial small subunit ribosomal RNA
Source: RNAcentral